RNAcentral lists this transfer RNA (89 nucleotides) under Crocodylus porosus (Australian saltwater crocodile). RNAcentral describes it as "transfer RNA-His". The record is from RNAcentral. Lineage: Eukaryota; Metazoa; Chordata; Crocodylia; Crocodylidae.
AUUACGUAGUACUGGCCCGUAGAUAUAGUUUAAACAAAACGUUAGAAUGUGGACCUAAAAACAGGAACUCACUCACUCCUUAUCUACCA